This 253-nucleotide ribosomal RNA is filed under the name uncultured bacterium. Its description in RNAcentral is "partial 16S ribosomal RNA". It matches the Rfam family "Bacterial small subunit ribosomal RNA", at positions 524 to 776 of the family's 1533-position model. The record is from RNAcentral.
UACGUAGGGUGCAAGCGUUAAUCGGAAUUACUGGGCGUAAAGCGUGCGCAGGCGGCUAUGCAAGACAGAUGUGAAAUCCCCGGGCUCAACCUGGGAACUGCAUUUGUGACUGCAUGGCUAGAGUACGGUAGAGGGGGAUGGAAUUCCGUGUGUAGCAGUGAAAUGCGUAGAUAUGCGGAGGAACACCGAUGGCGAAGGCAAUCCCCUGGGCCUGCACUGACGCUCAUGCACGAAAGCGUGGGGAGCAAACAGG